UGCAGUCGAACGCGAACGCACCUUCGGGUGUUAUUAGAGUGGCGGACGGGUGAGUAACACGUGGGAACAUGCCUUUCGGUACGGAACAACGCUUGGAAACGAGUGCUAAUACCGUAUACGCCCUUCGGGGGAAAGAUUUAUCGCCGAAAGAUUGGCCCGCGCUAGAUUAGCUAGUUGGUAAGGUAAUGGCUUACCAAGGCGACGAUCUAUAGCUGGUUUGAGAGGAUGAUCAGCCACACUGGGACUGAGACACGGCCCAGACUCCUACGGGAGGCAGCAGUGGGGAAUAUUGGACAAUGGGGGCAACCCUGAUCCAGCGAUGCCGCGUGAGUGAUGAAGGCCUUAGGGUUGUAAAACUCUUUCAGAUGGGAUGAUAAUGACAGUACCAUCAGAAGAAGCUCCGGCUAACUCCGUGCCAGCAGCCGCGGUAAUACGGAGGGAGCUAGCGUUGUUCGGAAUUACUGGGCGUAAAGCGCGCGUAGGCGGCUUUGCAAGUAGGGGGUGAAAUCCCGGGGCUUAACCCCGGAACUGCCCUCUAAACUGCAGAGCUAGAAUCCUGGAGAGGUGAGUGGAAUUCCUAGUGUAGGGGUGAAAUUCGUAGAUAUUAGGAAGAACACCAGUGGCGAAGG
This 629-nucleotide ribosomal RNA is filed under the name uncultured bacterium. RNAcentral's name for it is "bacterial SSU rRNA". It matches the Rfam family "Bacterial small subunit ribosomal RNA", at positions 56 to 721 of the family's 1533-position model. The record is from RNAcentral.